AGCGAACGCUGGCGGCAGGCCUAACACAUGCAAGUCGAACGAACUCUUCGGAGUUAGUGGCGGACGGGUGAGUAACACGUGGGAACGUGCCUUUAGGUUCGGAAUAACUCAGGGAAACUUGUGCUAAUACCGAAUGUGCCCUUCGGGGGAAAGAUUUAUCGCCUUUAGAGCGGCCCGCGUCUGAUUAGCUAGUUGGUGAGGUAACGGCUCACCAAGGCGACGAUCAGUAGCUGGUCUGAGAGGAUGGCCAGCCACACUGGGACUGAGACACGGCCCAGACUCCUACGGGAGGCAGCAGUGGGGAAUCUUGCGCAAUGGGCGAAAGCCUGACGCAGCCGUGCCGCGUGAAUGAUGAAGGUCUUAGGAUUGUAAAAUUCUUUCACCGGGGACGAUAAUGACGGUACCCGGAGAAGAAGCCUCGGCUAACUUCGUGCCAGCCGCCGCGGUAA
Molecule: ribosomal RNA, 449 nt
Filed under: uncultured bacterium
Lineage: Bacteria
Description: partial 16S ribosomal RNA
Rfam family: Bacterial small subunit ribosomal RNA
Source: RNAcentral